Molecule: long non-coding RNA, 663 nt
Filed under: Struthio camelus australis
Lineage: Eukaryota; Metazoa; Chordata; Aves; Struthioniformes; Struthionidae
Description: lncRNA (ENSSCUG00000016178.1)
Source: RNAcentral
GUUGUUAACUUUCCUUUGCAAUACAGCACGUCAAGCGUUGUGUGUCUAAAGUAAAGACCUCUAACUAAAGGAGGAAUAGCACUAUGCUGAAAUAUCUCCAAAGAUAGGGCUGCUUGAAAUAAGAAACUCAUUAACUCAGUAGUGAUAGAGCUUUAGAUGCUUGGUGUUGAGAGAGAACAGUGAAUGUGGAAAUUACUUUGAGCUUCUUAUGUUAAUGACAUUUUUAUUUAAAUUUAUAGGAUCGUAAAAAUAAAGUAGCGCAUUUAAAUGUCCAGACCAACACAACUCUUGCUCCUACAGCCCUUGCUCUUCUUGUAGACAAAUAAUUAUGGCUGCAGUCUGUUUCAUCUUUCUUCCUAAAUAUGCAUUCAACCAUACAUACAAUCACAUACUCAGAGGCACUCUAACUGAUUGGAGGGCAGUAACAGUGGAGAUGCUGCUGUCAAGACACUUGUUCAAGAUCUGGCAGCUGUAACAAAUAGCCGACCCGUCCAGUCUGUGACUCAUUCACCGGAGGCCCGUCUUUGCGCACCAUCACACAACCCUCAUCUCCUGUGGUUGAGGCACAGCCUGUGAUGCUCUUGGAGCUGAUGGACCACACAGAGUCGUCUGGCUGGAGCAACGAUCCAUUCGUGAUACGUGAGAUCCAUCCGUGAUACGUGA